This 850-nucleotide ribosomal RNA is filed under the name uncultured organism. Its description in RNAcentral is "SSU rRNA". It matches the Rfam family "Bacterial small subunit ribosomal RNA", at positions 524 to 1381 of the family's 1533-position model. The record is from RNAcentral.
GACAGAGGAUGCAAGUGUUAUUCGGAAUGAUUGGGCGUAAAGAGUCUGUAGGCGGUUUAGAAAGUCUUUUGUGAAAUACUUCAGCUCAACUGAGGCUCCGCAAAAGAAACUUCUAGACUUGAGGAAAGUAGAGGUACAGGGAAUUUCCGGUGGAGCGGUGAAAUGCGUAGAUAUCGGAAGGAACACCAAUAUGGCGAAGGCACUGUACUGGGCUUUUCCUGACGCUAAGAGACGAAAGCUGAAGGAGUGAUUAGGAUUAGAUACCCUAGUAAUUUCAGCCGUAAACGAUGAAAACUCACUGUCGAGCCAAUAUAUGGAGCGGUGGUCAAGCUAACGCGUGAAGUUUUCCGCCUGGGGAUUACGCUUGCAAAAGUGAAACUCAAAGGAAUUGACGGGGACCCGCAUAAGCGGUGGAGUAUGUGGUUUAAUUCGAUGCAACGCGAAAAACCUUACCAGGGUUUGAAAUAAUUUCAAAACUUCUUGAAAGAGAAGCCUCCUUCGGGAUGGAAUUACAGGUGGUGCAUGGCUGUCGUCAGCUCGUGUUGUGAAAUGUCAAGUUAAGUCUUGUAACGAGCGCAACCCAUGUCUCUUGUUGCUGUUUACAGUGCUUAAGAGAAACUGCCGAUCAACAUCGGAGGAAGGUGUGGAUGAUGUCAAGUCAGCAUGCCCCUUACAUCCUGGGCUACACACGUACUACAAUGGUCGAGACAAAGGGUCGCUAACCUGCAAAGGCAUGCCAAUCUCAUAAACUCGAUCUCAGUUCGGAUUGUACUCUGCAACUCGAGUACAUGAAGGUGGAAUCGCUAGUAAUCGCUGGUCAGCAUACAGCGGUGAAUACGUUCCCGGGUCU